UACAGAGGUCUCAAGCGUUGUUCGGAUCCAUUGGGCGUAAAGGGUGCGUAGGUGGCGCGCUAAGUCAGGUGUGAAAUUUCGGAGCUUAACUCCGAAACUGCAUUUGAUACUGGCGUGCUUGAGGACUGGAGAGGAGACUGGAAUUCAUGGUGUAGCAGUGAAAUGCGUAGAGAUCAUGAGGAAGACCAGUGGCGAAGGCGGGUCUCUGGACAGUUCUUGACACUGAGGCACGAAGGCCAGGGGAGCAAACGGG
RNAcentral lists this ribosomal RNA (253 nucleotides) under uncultured bacterium. Its description in RNAcentral is "partial 16S ribosomal RNA". It matches the Rfam family "Bacterial small subunit ribosomal RNA", at positions 524 to 776 of the family's 1533-position model. The record is from RNAcentral.